RNAcentral lists this long non-coding RNA (390 nucleotides) under Apteryx owenii (little spotted kiwi). RNAcentral describes it as "lncRNA (ENSAOWG00000016828.1)". The record is from RNAcentral. Lineage: Eukaryota; Metazoa; Chordata; Aves; Apterygiformes; Apterygidae.
CUUAUUCCAGACAGUCUUAAUAAUGAGAACUAUGUGAUCUGAAAUACUGAACUUCUGGAAUUACAAUAACUUCUGUUAAUAUGUGUGAUACAGAUUCCUGGAAACUUGAGGAGCAGUCUUCCAGCAGCCAAGGAAUGCAGUUCCCCCCGGAUGUGUGGGUAUCUUGCAGAAAUCGAACAGAAGUGGGACAGACCAGUAGUAAGAACAACUGUUGUUUAAUACAGAUGAGCAAUUCGAUCUUCUUGGGUUGCUCACAUACCAUAGUGAUGAGUCUCAGAGAAAUACCAACAAAGAAGUUUUAAGUUCACUGCCUAUUUAGGAGAAUACAAAGUAUGUUCAGGUGAGUUUACAAAGUAUGUUCAGGUGAGUUGUGUUACAAUUGCUCUGUUA